CAAUAUCUAUCAAGUAUCCUUUCAUAACAAUCAUACAAGCCUCAAAAAAAUCAAAUCUCCAUUUAAUAGUAGAUUCAAUCAAAGAUCUCAUUAAUAAAAGCAAAAGAUCUCCAUAUCAAUUCCUAAAUCUAAAAUUUAUAAAUUAUAAAUUCACAUAGAUCCCAUAAACUCAAAUAAAUAUAAAUCAGAUCUUUUAUCUUAUUCUAAAUAUAUCAGUUAUUCAUUAACAAUCUC
RNAcentral lists this long non-coding RNA (234 nucleotides) under Elaeis guineensis (African oil palm). RNAcentral's name for it is "long non-coding RNA (EGUI_LNC057526)". Lineage: Eukaryota; Viridiplantae; Streptophyta; Magnoliopsida; Arecales; Arecaceae. The record is from RNAcentral.